GGGGAAGGGAGACUCAGCGAAGGAAACUCCUACCAAAGAACAAAGUUAAAACUCACUAAAAUAAAUGUUGGUAUUGCCUUUUCUCUCUAGUUUUUAUUCCAUCUGUAUUCUAUAACUCCUGAGAGAACAGUGGAGGUGAAAAGUGAGAAUUUGGCCUUACAGGAGGACAGGUGUGGAGAACAGGUGUCAAUUAACCAUAAAAUAACAGGUGUGAAUUGAUAAAAAUAUGACAGGUGAGUACAAACAGGUGUGAAUUUGCAUAAGGUGACAGGUGUGAGAUUAGGUUAAAGUGUCUAAAAGGGGAAGGUGAAGAGGUGGUGUGACAUGGCAUUAUAAGUGGACAUCUGUGAACAAAAGGUAUGGAUUUGGCAUUAUAAGUGGACAUCUGUGAACAAAAGGUAUGAAUUUGGCAUUAUAAGUGGACAUCUGUGAACAAAAGGUAUGAAUUUGGCAUUAUAAGUGGACAUCUGUGAACAAAAGGUGCAAAUUUGGCAUUAUAAGUGGACAUCUGUGAACAAAAGGUAUGGAUUUGGCAUUAUAAGUGGACAUCUGUGAACAAAAGGUGCAAAUUUGGCAUUAUAAGGGGACAUCUGUGAACAAAAGGUAUGAAUUUGACAUUAUAAGGGGACAUCUGUGAACAAAAGUUGUGGAUUUGGCAUUAUAAGGGGACAUCUGUGAACAAAAGGUGCAAAUUUGGCAUUAUAAGGGGACAUCUGUGAACAAAAGGUAUGGAUUUGGCAUUAUAAGGGGACAUCUGUGAACAAAAGGUAUGAAUUUGGCAUUAUAAGUGGACAUCUGUGAACAAAAGGUAUGAAUUUGGCAUUAUAAGUGGACAUCUGUGAACAAAAGGUAUGAAUUUGACAUUAUAAGGGGACAUCUGUGAACAAAAGGUAUGAAUUUGACAUUAUAAGGGGACAUCUGUGAACAAAAGGUAUGAAUUUGACAUUAUGAGGUGGUCAUAUAUAAUACUCUUCACCGCAUGACAAUACACAACUUCUCAAACAUUCUGCGGCCUCCUGCCAUUGACCUCUGUACGAUAAGGGUGUCUUCUAACUCUCUUCACAUUAUCAACACAAGAGAUGAUAGAUUAGAGUCCAUAGUGUACUUAUGAGUUAUCAGGUAAAGGAAUAAAGAAUUGAAAUACAUUUUAAAAGAUUUCCAAUACGUUUUUUAAUCACCGAGGAAAAACGUGUUAUAAGUAAAUUUUCGGGUAAAUGAAUCGAAGAAUAAAUGAAUUGUCAGGUAAAGGAAUGAAGACUUGCAAUACAUUUUUAAAAGAACUGCAAUACAUCUUAAACAUGCUAUGCUGCGUCCCUAUUCCGUUGACCUCUGUACGAUAAGCAGUGUCUAAGCACCACCCUUUUGGGCCCAGUACCUACUUUUGGGAGUCCCGGCCCCCCGCCCUUUUUCCAAACAUCAUUAAUCUGGAAAGUCCUAUUCCUCCAACUCCUCCUCAUGCAGUUAACAAUGCUUGAGUGCAGUGCAGGAGGUUUAAGUAUCAAUGAACACUCUAAGCUACGUCCCUGUUUCAUUGACCUCUGUACGAUUAAGGAUGUUUUCUAAUACUUUGCACAUUCUCGAUACAAGAGAUGUUAGAUUUCACAGAGUUCAUAAUAGUACGUCUCAAACACUCUAAGCUACGUCCCAGUUUCAUUGACCUCUGUACGAUUAAGGAUAUGUUUUCUAAUACACUGCACACUAUCAAUACAAGAGAUGUUAGAUUUCACACAUAAUAGUACGUCUCAAACACUCUACGCUAUGUCCCUAUUCCAAUGAUCUCUGUACGAUUAAGGAUAUGUUUACUAAUAUUUUGCACAUUCUCGAUACAAGAGACGAUAGAUUUCACAGAGUUCAUAAUAGUACGUCUCAAAACACUAUGCUAUGUCCCUGUUUCAUUGACCUCUGUACGAUAAGGAUAAGUUUUCUAAUACUCUGCACAUUCUCGAUACAAGAGAUGACAGAUUUCACAGAGUUCAUAAUAGUACGUCUCAAACAUUCUAAGCUACGCCCCUAUUCCAAUGACCUCUACAAUAAGGAUAAGUUUUCUAAUACUCUGCACAUUCUCGAUACAAGAGAUGACAGAUUUUACAGAGUUCAUAAUAGUACGUCUCAAACACUCUACGCUACGUCCCUAUUCCAAUGACCUCUACGAUAAGGAUAGGUUUUCUAAUACUCUGCACACUGUCAAUACAAGAGACACUAGAUUACAGAGUUCAUGGUUAUAUAGACACUUCAAAUUACUUAACCUCUCAGAUAACAAUGAUAGCUGGCCGCGUAGAGUGACCAAGGGAAGGUUCGAGAGAUAAUCAGGGCUGCUUUGUCUAUAUAUCAACUAAUGAGGAGGUUAAUUCGUAAGGAGAUAAGGCAAUGAAAGUAGACUAAUGAGGUGAAAAGUUAAGUAAUAGCUCAGCCUUGGAGUAAUAUAGAGGACUGGGUUGUCUAUAUAUAAGCUAAUAAGAAGUCAAUUAGUAAAGAGAUAAGCUAAUAAUGAGUAGUUUAUAGAUUGGUUAGUAAGUUAAUUAAAGAAAUAAACUGCGUCAAUUAGGUGUGAUUUAGACGACUGUGCCAAGGCCGUGCCUAUGUAAAGGCCUUGGCUGUGCUGUCUGGAUCAACCCUCACCUCUGCAGCAGCUCCAUCAGGGUCAGGAUAGAUUGGUUAGU
Eriocheir sinensis (Chinese mitten crab) is the source of this 2660-nucleotide long non-coding RNA. RefSeq lists it as uncharacterized. Lineage: Eukaryota; Metazoa; Arthropoda; Malacostraca; Decapoda; Varunidae. The transcript has 4 exons. The record is from RefSeq and is a predicted model, not a curated record.